AUUGAACGCUGGCGGCAGGCCUAACACAUGCAAGUCGAACGGUAACAGGAAACAGCUUGCUGUUUCGCUGACGAGUGGCGGACGGGUGAGUAAUGUCUGGGAAACUGCCUGAUGGAGGGGGAUAACUACUGGAAACGGUAGCUAAUACCGCAUAACGUCGCAAGACCAAAGAGGGGGACCCUCGGGCCUCUUGCCAUCGGAUGUGCCCAGAUGGGAUUAGCUUGUUGGUGGGGGAACGGCUCACCAAGGCGACGAUCCCUAGCUGGUCUGAGAGGAUGACCAGCCACACUGGAACUGAGACACGGUCCAGACUCCUACGGGAGGCAGCAGUGGGGAAUAUUGCACAAUGGGCGCAGGCCUGAUGCAGCCAUGCCGCGUGUAUGAAGAAGGCCUUCGGGUUGUAAAGUACUUUCAGCGGGGAGGAAGGGAGUAAAGUUAAUACCUUUGCUCAUUGACGUUACCCGCAGAAGAAGCACCGGCUAACUCCGUG
This 490-nucleotide ribosomal RNA is filed under the name uncultured bacterium. RNAcentral's name for it is "partial 16S ribosomal RNA". It matches the Rfam family "Bacterial small subunit ribosomal RNA", at positions 30 to 507 of the family's 1533-position model. The record is from RNAcentral.